AGUAAGGUAAGAGUGGCUUUCAUAGUUCUAGUACUACUUGGUGUUUUUCUUUCUCUAUGUAAUGUACUAAUGUGAGUCUUAACGAUUAAAUGGGAGGCGAGAUGACAUCGUCGCUUUGACUCAAACGAACCGUCGGCGAGGCCGCCGCCUGCUGCGACGAUCGACCUGCGUAGGUCAUUUUCUAGGAUUUGAUAGGGUUAAUGUGACACACUCCCCGUAGGUUAUUUUCUAGGAUUUGAUAGGGUUAAUGUUCUACUCUUAUCAGGCAUGUACUUUAUUCUAAUCAAAUUUGAUAGGGUUAAUGUGACACAAUACUCGUAGGUCAUUUUCUAGGAUUUGAAAAUAACUCCUAGUACUUGUGUGCAGGCUGCUAAUAGUAGCAUACUUUGUUCUAAUCAAAAUUUCUAUGCAAUUCAAUCAGGAAAGCCACUCUGUUAGUAAUACAGAACUAGCAUUUAUUUAGACUGAAAAUAUGCACUGUAAUUUAAUGUGCAUUUUUGCCCAGUAAUGUGUAUUCCUUCUCUUUUUGGUUGCCUGAAUUUAAAGUGGUUUUGGACUGUAAUUUUCAGUAAUGUGUCACUUCUAGUUUACCUAAAUAUUUUUGUAUUCUUAUCAGUUGUGUGCCCCAUUCUAAAGAAGUUCAGUAAAUGUGUAAGUCCCAUUCUGUAAAUACAAUAUUUUACAAACCAUUUAGAUACAAAAACCUGAUCUUUGUUUUCUUUUUCACAAGAAGCUAUUUUUGGCUUACAUGAAGGGAUGCAUGUUCUUCAUCUUGCAGGUAUGACUCAUCCUCGCAUUCUUACUCCGGCUUUGUUUCCUUCGGCUUCUUGAUUCUGAAAUUUUAAGAUAAAUUGUAAGUACUCAGUAUCAUCUUCUUAAGCAAAGCUACUGUUUUUUGCUUGAAUUACAGUGUUUUGUCUGACCUAUGUAUAGUGUCAAUAAAAUCUAAAUUUAAAGAUGGAGAUACAUUUUUGGUGGCAUCUUACAUCACAGUAAUUUACAACCAAGAUAGGUUUACAAUGUCUUUUUGAUAGCAACUAUAAUGCAUAGCUGCAGAUUUUGUCGAACACACAUAUGUAUUUUGAAUGCAUGACAGAUACUGGGGUCAAAUAGAAUAACAAGUAAGUCAUUCAUUUUGUCUUCAUAUUUACUUGAAGGACUGCAUGUUCUUCAUCUUUGUAUGCCCCAUGUAUUUGCUCGUAAGCUUCAGUAGUGUUAUCUAUCUAGUCUGAUUUAUAUACUCCAUUCCUAAGCUGAAAUAUUUUUUGUAACUGAAAUAUAUAGUCUGAGUUUCAUUCAGUUAUUUGUCACUUUUUAACUGAAUAUCUUUUUGUAACUGAAAUAUCUGUGUACUUACAAUGCCUGUCUCAUAGGGCCCUUCCCAGCGAGACCUAAGUUUUAAUUGAAUAUCUUUUCUGUCGAUGGUCGUAGAAUUUUAGGAAAAAACACUGUAUAAGGAAUACAAUUGUUUAUGAAACUACUGUUGUUGGUUUAGCCAAACACCUCACAGUUUCCAAAACUACAGUUUUGUAGAAACCAUAGUAUUCUGAUUGAGCUAAGCUAGCCGUGUAUCUCCUCCUGUGGGAGUCAAGGUGCGUACGCUCCUUGUCUUUUCACUUUUUAUAUUAGAUUGAAUAACAAGAAUUGUCAAUCAACUGUAAAAAAAAUUAAUUACCAAUCUGCAUGCACUAGACAUAUAUCUUUCUCAUCAUUUUAGACAGUAGAAUGAUCUUUUUAUUUAGGAUUCAUGGUUAUUUUUUCUUUUUCUUGUUAUUAUGCAUUACUAUGAGUUCAUUGUAUUAAGAUUCCUUACAACUUUAGGCACCUGAGCUAUUUACAGAAGGAGGGGACCCAGCCUUCUUCACGGCUCGCGACAAUGUCUCCCAUUGAUUCGUUCGUGCAACAAGGAGGGGAGCCGCCCUUCUUCACGUCUCGUGCAACAAGGGUGCUCGACGUAGACUACCGCUGCCUGGUGGGCGUCGUGCUCUCCAAACACUCGGAGGUGGACUUCGCCGUGAAGCCCGGCGACCGCGUCGCACAAAUGAUCGUCCAGGUGAUCGUGACGCCGGAGGUCGCCGAGGUGGAGGACCUCGAUACCAUCGUUUGGGGGGAGGGGGGAUUGGGGUCCACCAGCAUCUGAACUCCGAGCCUUGGUAGAUACAUCUAGAGAAGUGGUAUGUUUAGGUUGCUGGUGGAACACUAGGAAAGGUACCCACCUUUGGUUGUGUGCGUUUACUGUUAAAUGGAAUCAAGUGAUCUCUUGCAGUUGAGAUGUUCAAUGUUGCAUCCAUGAAUGGUGCAAGUGUUAAGAUGGUCCUGUGACCUUAAUUUAUUUUGCACUGGACGUGUCUC
This is a long non-coding RNA of Aegilops tauschii subsp. strangulata, 2352 nucleotides long. RefSeq lists it as uncharacterized. The record is from RefSeq and is a predicted model, not a curated record. Lineage: Eukaryota; Viridiplantae; Streptophyta; Magnoliopsida; Poales; Poaceae.